GGUUUCGUGGGUGUAGUUGGUUAUCACGUCAGUCUAACACACUGAAGGUCUCCGGUUCAAGUCCGGGCGAAGCCA
This is a transfer RNA of Ipomoea nil (Japanese morning glory), 75 nucleotides long. It matches the Rfam family "tRNA". From Rfam's summary of the family: Transfer RNA (tRNA) molecules are approximately 80 nucleotides in length. Their secondary structure includes four short double-helical elements and three loops (D, anti-codon, and T loops). Lineage: Eukaryota; Viridiplantae; Streptophyta; Magnoliopsida; Solanales; Convolvulaceae. The record is from Rfam.